This 1093-nucleotide small RNA is filed under the name Neoscytalidium hyalinum. RNAcentral's name for it is "eukaryotic LSU rRNA". It matches the Rfam family "Eukaryotic large subunit ribosomal RNA", at positions 83 to 1042 of the family's 3401-position model. The record is from RNAcentral. Lineage: Eukaryota; Fungi; Ascomycota; Dothideomycetes; Botryosphaeriales; Botryosphaeriaceae.
GUAACGGCGAGUGAAGCGGCAACAGCUCAAAUUUGAAAGCUGGCCCCCCCGGGGGUCCGCGUUGUAAUUUGUAGAGGAUGAUUCGGCGAGGGCUCCCGCCUAAGUCCCCUGGAACGGGGCGUCAUAGAGGGUGAGAAUCCCGUAUGCGGUGGGCUGCCUUAGCCAUGUGAAUCUCCUUCGACGAGUCGAGUUGUUUGGGAAUGCAGCUCUAAAUGGGAGGUAAAUUUCUUCUAAAGCUAAAUACCGGCCAGAGACCGAUAGCGCACAAGUAGAGUGAUCGAAAGAUGAAAAGCACUUUGGAAAGAGAGUUAAAAAGUACGUGAAAUUGUUGAAAGGGAAGCGCUUGCAGCCAGACUUGUCCGCAGUUGCUCAGCCGGUCUCCUGACCGGCGCACUCUUCUGCGGCCAGGCCAGCAUCAGUUCGGGCGGUCGGAUAAAGGCCCCGGGAACGUAGCUCCUCUCGGGGAGUGUUAUAGCCCGGGGUGGAAUGCGGCCAGCCUGGACUGAGGAUCUCGCUUCGGCUAGGAUGCUGGCGUAAUGGCUGUAAGCGGCCCGUCUUGAAACACGGACCAAGGAGUCUAACAUCUAUGCGAGUGUUUGGGUGUCAAACCCAUGCGCGUAAUGAAAGUGAACGGAGGUGGGAACCCUCGCGGGUGCACCAUCGACCGAUCCUGAUGUCUUCGGAUGGAUUUGAGUAAGAGCAUAGCUGUUGGGACCCGAAAGAUGGUGAACUAUGCCUGAAUAGGGUGAAGCCAGAGGAAACUCUGGUGGAGGCUCGCAGCGGUUCUGACGUGCAAAUCGAUCGUCAAAUUUGGGUAUAGGGGCGAAAGACUAAUCGAACCAUCGACUACUAGGUGGUUAAGAGGUGGCUGAAAGUGCCCACCUAGUCCCCCCGUCCUCGGACGGGGGGGCGACAUCGCCAAAUUGCGGGGACUCCCUUAGAGCCUCUACUACCGCGGCCGGCCGAAAGGCGCGGUGCAGCACCGGGUUAAUUGCCUAGGGUACGGUAAAAAGGUAGAGGAUUGGGAAAUCCGCAGCCAAGCGCCUAAGUCCCGCGGGAUACGGCGAAGGUUCAGAGACUAGAUGGCGGUGGG